CCUACGGGUGGCAGCAGUGGGGAAUUUUGCGCAAUGCUCGAAAGCCUGACGCAGCGACGCCGCGUGAGGGAUGAAGGUCUUCGGAUCGGAAACCUCUGUCAGCAGGGAAGAACGGUAACUGUGCUAAUCAGCAGUGAAUUGACGGUACCUGCAAAGGAAGCACCGGCUAACUCCGGGCCAGCAGCCGCGGUAAUACGGAGGGUGCGAGCGUUAAUCGGAAUUACGGGGCGUAAAGAGCUCGUAGGCGGUAUGUCAAGUCAAGGGUGAAAUCCCCGCGCUCAACGUGGGAACUGCCUUUGAAACUGGCAAACUGGAGUGUGUGAGAGGAUAGUGGAAUUCCAGGUGUAGGAGUGAAAUCCGUAGAUAUCUGGAGGAACAUCAGUGGCGAAGGCGACUAUCUGGCACAUAACUGACGCUGAGGAGCGAAAGCGUGGGUAGCAAACAGGAUUAGAUACCCUAGUAGUC
Molecule: ribosomal RNA, 465 nt
Filed under: uncultured bacterium
Lineage: Bacteria
Description: partial 16S ribosomal RNA
Rfam family: Bacterial small subunit ribosomal RNA
Source: RNAcentral